GUGCAAUCCGCUAACCGGUCAGGCCGUGUCGCGGAAGGUUAGAUUAACCCGCUAAUCUCGCGAAGCGCGAAGAAAGGUGAGCA
Molecule: regulatory RNA element, 83 nt
Organism: Massilia sp. Root351
Lineage: Bacteria; Pseudomonadati; Pseudomonadota; Betaproteobacteria; Burkholderiales; Oxalobacteraceae
Rfam family: SucA RNA motif
Source: Rfam